Small nucleolar RNA from Sorex fumeus (smoky shrew), 70 nucleotides. RefSeq annotates it as small nucleolar RNA SNORD104. The transcript has a single exon. Lineage: Eukaryota; Metazoa; Chordata; Mammalia; Eulipotyphla; Soricidae. The record is from RefSeq and is a predicted model, not a curated record.
UCGGUGAUGACAUUCCAAUCAAUGCACGUGUUAGACUGCUGAUGCUGGUGAUGCGAACAGAAGUCUGAGU